AGCUCCAAUAGCGUAUAUUAAAGUUGUUGCAGUUAAAAAGCUCGUAGUUGGAUUUGGGACUGGAGUCGUCGGGUCGGCCGCGAGGUCUGUUACUGGACGGCUCCGUCAUUUCAUCUCUCGGAGACCCGUCGUGCACUUCGCUGUGCGCGGCGCGGGACUCGGGACGUUUACUUUGAAAAAAUUAGAGUGCUCAAAGCAGGCUAAAAUGCCUGAAUAUUCGUGCAUGGAAUAAUGGAACAGGACUACGGUCACUGCACUUUUUCCGUUGGUUUCGGAGGACCGAAGUAAUGAUUAAGAGGGACAGUUGGGGGCAUCCGUAUUUCGUAGUCAGAGGUGAAAUUCUUGGAUUUACGAAAGACGAACAACUGCGAAAGCAUUUGCCAAGAGUGUUUUCAUUAAU
This 400-nucleotide ribosomal RNA is filed under the name phytoplankton environmental sample. RNAcentral describes it as "partial small subunit ribosomal RNA". It matches the Rfam family "Eukaryotic small subunit ribosomal RNA", at positions 587 to 977 of the family's 1831-position model. The record is from RNAcentral.